This 520-nucleotide ribosomal RNA is filed under the name uncultured bacterium. Its description in RNAcentral is "bacterial SSU rRNA". It matches the Rfam family "Bacterial small subunit ribosomal RNA", at positions 28 to 524 of the family's 1533-position model. The record is from RNAcentral.
GAUGAACGCUAGCGACAGGCUUUAACACAUGCAAGUCGAGGGGCAGCGGGGGAGUAAGCUUGCUUAUUCCUGCCGGCGACCGGCGCACGGGUGAGUAAACACGUAUGCAACCUGCCCUUGGCAGGGGGAUAACCCGGAGAAAUCCGGACUAAUACCGCGUAACACCCCUGGGGGACAUCCCCGGGGGUCAAAGGAAGCAAUUCCGGCCAAGGAUGGGCAUGCGUCGCAUUAGGCAGUUGGCGGUGUAACGGACCACCAAACCGACGAUGCGUAGGGGUUCUGAGAGGAAGGCCCCCCACACUGGUACUGAGACACGGACCAGACUCCUACGGGAGGCAGCAGUGAGGAAUAUUGGUCAAUGGGCGCAAGCCUGAACCAGCCAAAGUCGCGUGAGGGAAGACGGUCCUAUGGAAUUGUAAAACCUCUUUUGUCAGGGAGCAAGUCGGCCACGCGUGGUGCGAUUGAGAGUACCUGAAGAAAAAGCAUCGGGCUAAAACUCCGUGCCAGCAGCCGCCGCAGU